This 424-nucleotide ribosomal RNA is filed under the name uncultured prokaryote. RNAcentral's name for it is "bacterial SSU rRNA". It matches the Rfam family "Bacterial small subunit ribosomal RNA", at positions 355 to 796 of the family's 1533-position model. The record is from RNAcentral.
UGGGGAAUCUUGGACAAUGGGGGCAACCCUGAUCCAGCCAUGCCGCGUGAGUGACGAAGGCCCUAGGGUCGUAAAGCUCUUUCAGCUGUGAAGAUAAUGACGGUAGCAGCAGAAGAAACCCCGGCUAACUCCGUGCCAGCAGCCGCGGUAAUACGGAGGGGGUUAGCGUUGUUCGGAAUUACUGGGCGUAAAGCGCGCGUAGGCGGACUGUUAAGUCAGAGGUGAAAUCCCGGGGCUCAACCCCGGAACUGCCUUUGAUACUGGCAGUCUCGAGUUCUGGAGAGGUGAGUGGAAUUCCGAGUGUAGAGGUGAAAUUCGUAGAUAUUCGGAGGAACACCAGUGGCGAAGGCGGCUCACUGGCCAGACACUGACGCUGAGGCGCGAAAGCGUGGGGAGCAAACAGGAUUAGAUACCCCCGUAGUCC